UGCAGUCGCACGAGAAAGUGGAGCAAUCCAUGAGUAAAGUGGCGUACGGGUGAGUAACACGUGGAUGAUCUACCUCUUAGUGGGGAAUAACCCUGGGAAACCGGGGCUAAUACCGCAUAAGCCUGAGAAGGGAAAGCAGCAAUGCGCUGAGAGAGGAGUCCGCGGCCGAUUAGCUAGUUGGCGGGGUAAGAGCCCACCAAGGCAGAGAUCGGUAGCCGGCCUGAGAGGGCACACGGCCACACUGGCACUGAAACACGGGCCAGACUCCUACGGGAGGCAGCAGUGGGGAAUCUUGCACAAUGGGGGAAACCCUGAUGCAGCGACGCCGCGUGAGCGAUGAAGCCCUUCGGGGUGUAAAGCUCUUUCGGCAGGGAAGAUGAUGACGGUACCUGCAGAAGCAGCUGCGGCUAACUACGUGCCAGCAGCCGCGGUAAUACGUAGGCAGCAAGCGUUGUUCGGAGUUACUGGGCGUAAAGGGUGUGUAGGCGGUUGUUUAAGUUUGGUGUGAAAUCUCCCGGCUCAACUGGGAGGGUGCGCCGAAUACUGAAUGACUAGAGUGCGGGAGAGGAAAGUGGAAUUCCUGGUGUAGCGGUGAAAUGCGUAGAUAUCAGGAGGAACACCGGUGGUGUAGACGGCUUUCUGGACCGUAACUGACGCUGAGACACGAAAGCGUGGGUAGCAAACAGGAUUAGAUACCCUGGUAGUCCACGCCCUAAACGAUGCAUAUUUGGUGUGGGCAGUUCAUUCUGUCCGUGCCGGAGCUAACGCGUUAAAUAUGCCGCCUGGGGAGUACAGUCGCAAGGCUGAAACUCAAAGGAAUUGACGGGGGCCCGCACAAGCGG
This 842-nucleotide ribosomal RNA is filed under the name uncultured Bacillota bacterium. RNAcentral's name for it is "bacterial SSU rRNA". It matches the Rfam family "Bacterial small subunit ribosomal RNA", at positions 56 to 932 of the family's 1533-position model. Lineage: Bacteria; Bacillati; Bacillota. The record is from RNAcentral.